Molecule: ribosomal RNA, 253 nt
Filed under: uncultured bacterium
Lineage: Bacteria
Description: partial 16S ribosomal RNA
Rfam family: Bacterial small subunit ribosomal RNA
Source: RNAcentral
UACGUAGGGUGCAAGCGUUGUCCGGAAUUAUUGGGCGUAAAGAGCUCGUAGGCGGUUUGUCGCGUCGGCUGUGAAAACUCGGGGCUCAACCCCGAGCCUGCAGUCGAUACGGGCAGACUAGAGUGCUGUAGGGGAGACUGGAAUUCCUGGUGUAGCGGUGAAAUGCGCAGAUAUCAGGAGGAACACCGGUGGCGAAGGCGGGUCUCUGGGCAGUAACUGACGCUGAGGCGCGAAAGCGUGGGGAGCAAACGGG